CAGUGACUACUUCAGACCUUCCUGCUCCUCAAAGCUCCAACUCCAUCCUUCCUUGCUUGUUUGUCUUCUGCUUCACACAGAAAACCAAAAUCACCAGGAUCAGGCCUCAUCAUUUCAUGCCGGGACUUCACUGAUCCCUGCUUUCAACUUGACCUUGGAGCGGUCCUCCAUAUAGCUGCCAGUGGUGCAUCUAAAACGCAGACCUGCUCACGUCUCCUGCCAAACACCGUUCACUGACCACCUGCCUCUUCCAUUACUUGUAUCGUCCACUGUAGUAAGAGCAGUGUGUAAGGAACCCCCUGGUUGGUGAGGGAGCACCUAUAAUUUGGAAAAGCUUCCCCAGUCCAUUUGAGUCACAGACUUCCAGGAUAGUUUUGUAAUGCAAGGCUCUUUCCUCCAUGACCCUUGAUUGCCCAGCUCUCCAGACUCACCUGCCAGCAUUCCUCACCUUGGACUUGAUGUCACACAACCACCCCACUUCUUCCACACACUUACCACCCUACUUCUUGGGACCCCGUAUUGCUCAUCUUCCAAAACUCAGCAAUGAUGCCCCUGAGGUCUCUGCUGGAAGCAUGUUGACAGCAAGGACUAUGUCUUGUUCUUCACACAACCUGGCACAUACCUUGUGCACAGCUGAACCGAAAAGGAACUUGGCAAACGACAGACUGAGUUUAAUGUUUUCUUGGUCAUUGUACCAGAACAGAUGGUCCUAAAGACAGUUUAUGAAAUGUAAUUAGGGUAAGUGUAAAUUCCUGUAGCUACAUACAAAAAUAACAGGCAUGCAAAUAUCAGGUGGGCAAGUAUGGCUUUGUGAUAGUUCAUGGGAGAAAAGGUAGGGAUUUUCACUGACGAAGCCUUGCCCUGGGUUGCCGGUGUGGUCAGGCUGCAGGCGCUGCUGGAAACGUGGCCUUCCAUACUGGUGUCGCUCUGUUAUUGUCCCUGUUCUCUCUUGUGUCUUCAGUAAUUUCCACUCCCAUCCAUCCUCUCAUCCUAUACAUAUGUCCAGGUGCCCCUCCUGCCAACCUUUAAAACCCUCUGUCCUACCUGCCUUUUCCUCAGGUGCUUCCCUCUGUUCUUUUCCUUUUAUUUUUUAAUUUUUAUUUCUUAAACGUAUCUUUAUUAUUGAGAGUAUUAUAGAUGUCCCCUUUCUCUCCCCCUUUGAUGCUCUUCCUUUUAUACUCUUGAAAAAAAGAGUCUAUACUGCCCCUGCUCACCAUCCAUUCCUUACUAUCUGAAAACCCCUUGCCCACCUUAGCUUCCAUGAUGCUACUUUCUCUUGGUUCAUCCUCUCUCUCCUUUCCUCCUCUCUGGAGGUAACUUUGCUUUAUUGAAAAGCUGGAGACCCUCCAAAGUGAUUCAGCUCUCCGUUUCCUAUUUCAUACACCCUAACAUCAUUGAAUACAGCCCCCCUCCUCUUUCCUGACGGUGGCUUCCCACCCACAUGCUCCCUUGAGCCCAUCUGCUCCUCAGAGACCUCGCUCAAUCAUCCAUGUCUCUUCUGUUGUGGUUCCUACCCAUUCCAUCACUUUUGCCUACGAGCAUGUGCGAAUUUUUCCAUCCUUGCUGCCUCCUUUGGAUUUUUCCAUCCCUUAAGAACUUCCUGUGAUCCUCUGCCCUUCACCACCAGCCUUUUCCAAAGAGAAGUCCACCUCCCUGCCUCCCUCUUGCUGCCUCUCACCAGUCACUCAGUGUCACACAGUCUGACUUAGGCCUGAGUUACUCUGUGACAGCUGCUCCCCAAGUGGCAUUAGAAACCUAACCAGCAAUUUAAGUGCCUUUCCUUCCCUUUCCCCCCAGUUCUCAUCCUCAGGGAUCUCCCUACAGGAUUUGGCCAACUCUUCCUCCUUUUAGGGCAGCCCCAGUCCUCAUCUUCUCUUCCCUUGUUGUCUCUUUGUGCUUUCUUGGGUUCCUGCCGUGUCUGCUUCUCCCAUCCUAGAUGGAGGGUUUCCUGGUUCUCUGUUCUUGGUGUUUUUUCUCGACACUCUCCCCAUUACCUCUAACAAUAAGGAGAUGGAGAGAGGGUGCUGAAAAGACUAUGAGGAUAGGGGAGUUCUUUGUGUUGGUUUGGUGAUAUUGGCUUAUUAUUGUUGUAGUUGUUUUAUAAUGGUUUGAGGGAUUCCUUAGGAGACCAACAAACCACAUGUUGGUUCUGCUAUUUUCUGGACAUAUCCCAAACAUUCUUUUUUUAAAAAAAUUGAUGAGAGUGAGAGAGAGAGAGAGAGAGAGAGAGAGAGACAGAGAGAGAGAGCGCGAGCCUGGUUUUUCCACCUAUUUAUGCAUUCAUUGGUUGCUUCUUGUAUGUGCCCUGACUGGGGAUGGAACCUGCAACCUUGGCAUAUCAGGACAACACUCCAACCAACUGAGCUGCCCAGCCAGGGCAUCCUCAAACAUUCUUUGUCUUGGUCUUUCUUUACCUGUUGUGUUCCCUCCUCGCUCAUGGCCUCUGUAGCAUUCCAGUAAUGCUUCUCUUACAAAUCAGCUAUGACGCUGUAGUCCUUUCACCAUGUACUGUAGCUUCUAUUCUUCGCCAGGACACAGGCUCUCUUGAGGUCAGGACUUGGCUUAUUUUAUAUCCCUUGGAGCACUUAACAGAUUCUUGCAUAGAGUGUGUAAUCUAUAAGAGCUUCCUCAGCUGCCUCAGCUAAUGGGAAGAGCAUGACUUUUAGACAUAAACAGACCGGGAUUCUGAUGCUGCUCCUGGUUAGCUGGGCGACCUUGGGCACAUUGCUUACCUUUCUAAUGACAGUAAUGUGAGGAUAAAAUAUGACAAUGGGUGCUCAGAAGAUGCAGGUCCCUUCCCCUUCCCGAGGUGGGAAGCAGUGGGGUGAGGUGGGCACCAACCUGGGGGACACUAGGACACUCAGUGAAAGCAAAGCCAAGCAUUUGUGCAGACUUCAGGAUUUGCGGGGAAGCCAUUUGCAAGCCUGCCCUACUUUGACACAACACAGGAUCCUCCAUGAAUGAUCUACAGUUUCAGCCCUGGGACUGGCCAGAAGUGGGAGGAGACAAAGUGACCUAAAUUGUUUAAAGCAGCUUCUGAGGACAUAUUGAUAUACUUGAUGUAUCUCUGCCCAUAAAUGACUGGCCAGUGGUUGGAAUUUUAUUGCACUUGGUAUGGCCCCUUUAACCUUCACACAGUCCUGCCUUAGCUUCCGUUUUGCUGUUUUUAUUUUUUUUCCCCCCUGCCUCCUUCCCUCCCUUGGCCCCUACUGCAUACACAAAUACCAGUACACUACUUAGCUGCCCUCUUCCUGACUUUCCCUACCCCAAGUUAAGCUGCUGGGGUAGGACAUUCCAAGCCCUUCUCUCAAGUCUAGCAGCUCUUCAAAUGGCAUCACACCACGUAACUGUUAUGGAGUUGGGCAGAUGUGUAUUUCACCUGCAGAAUCCUUUGAAAACAAGGAAGAGGCUGGUAAGCCAGCCACCAAAGCCAUUUGGAGUGAUCCAGGAAGGUAUUCCUUAGAAUUAAAGUGCCCUAGCUUGUUUCAAGUUUCUUCAACGUUUAAGUUGUCCUUGCUUUUUCCUUAGGAACAAUGCUUCAGGGAACGCCCUCAAAUGCAGCUUGUGGGUUUCUCUAGGAUAGAGAUGCCCAGGGGUUAGAGGAUAUGUGUAUUUAAAAAUUUAUUAGAUCCUGCCAGACUGUUCAGUUCAAAGACUGCUGCCACAGAAAAAAAAUUAUGGUGUCAUUUUCUAUCUUGCUCCAAAAGCCCUUCUCAUUGCUAAAGUUAUAAACUGGUUUUUCUGUGUUUAUAAUGUUUGGCCUUUUGCUUUUUUAUAUUUGGAUCCCUUCACUCCCUACGAGAGCUUUUUCCAUUGUGUAAGUGCCACCUGAAUAGUCUCCUUUGCUUUGAGGCUUGCUGUUCUAUUUCACUGAUCCAUAUGUCUACUCAUACUAUUGCUGUCAUAUUUUGUGCUUUUAAAAAAUUUGUGGAAAAAUAAAUAACAUACAAAUUUCCAUUUUAACUGUUUUUAAGUAUACAAUUCAGUGACAUUAAUCAUAUUCAUAGUGUUGUGCAAUAAUCACCACUGUUUCCAGACUUUUCAUCAGCUCAAACAGAAACUCGGUACUCAUUAAGCAAUAGCUUCCUGUCCCCAUCUCAUCCUGUCCCCUGGUAGUCUACUUUCUGUCUCUGUGAAUUUGCAUAUUCUAGGUGUUUCAUAUAAGUGGAACUAUACAAUAUUUGUCCUUUUGUAUCUGGUUUAUUUUACUUAGCUUAAUGUUUUCAAGGUCCAUGCAGUUUGAAUCAUGUAUUAGAAUUUCAUUUCUUUUUAUAGCCGAAUAAUAUUCUGUUAUAUAUAGACCACGUUUUGCUUAUCCAUCAUCUGUUCAUAGACACUUGGGUUGUUUCUACCUUUUGUUUAUGCUCUGUGAACAUAUGUGUACAAGUAUCUGUUUGAAUCCCUGUUUUCAGUUCUCUUGGGUAUCUAACUAAGAGUGGAAGAGCUGGGUCAUAUGGUAAUUCAUGUUUAACUUUUAGUGGAGCUGUCAAACCGUUUUCUACAGUGGCCACAGAGGAGAUGCUUGACCCCCUUCAUUGUUAGUAGGAAGAGCAGUCCCUGCGGCCUGUUUUGCAUUCUCCUGCCCACAUUUCCCUCCCCUGCUGGAGCCAAGCACAGAACCUGGCACACGGUGGUACCAAGUGCAGGGUGGCCUGGUUGGGUGGAUAAAUGGACAGAUGAACUUCAGACCACUGGACUGUUGAGCAGAAAGCAAUGUGGUGCUGUGAAAAGUGCCUGGAGCCAUAUUAAUGGUGAGUGAGUGUGACAAGAGACAUGAAUUCUGUUUCGUAGAUGAGCCCUUAGUUUCUGUCUCAUUUAGCUAAUCUGUAAAAGGUGAUUGCACUCCUGCUCUACACGGUGUUGAGACAUGAGAUCUGGGUGCAAAAGCCAAAGACACCCACCAAUGUUAGGUAUUGCUGCGUCCCACGUGUGCCUCAGCACUCAGACUAGGGCCUGACGCUUCGGUUACAUGAUUUCUUGUGUGCCUUCAUUCAUACAUUCAGCCACUAUUAAUUGAGUGCUUGCUCUGUGCCAGACACUGUUCUGGAGACUGGGAUUCGGCUGUGACUAAGAGGGAGAAAAAAGGCCUUGGCCUCAUCAAUCACUCAGUGGUCCAAGAACAAGUCCCAAGAGACAACUCCCUUCCUAUUCUUUUGGCACCAACUCUAGACUUUCUAAAAGCACAGCAAGAAAUGCUGGUGAAGAGCUUGUAUUUUAAGGAGGUGUUUCCACCUUAAAGGAGAAAAAUGGAUUUUAAAAUGUAGAACGAAGAAUAGGCCAGGUGCUUUAUAAGUUAAGCAGCUUGAAACUCCAUUGGGGAACCUUCAUGGGCUUUCUGUGUGAAGAGCAAAGAGAAGUUUCCAGAUACUCCCCCCACUGUGACCCCCUCAGGAAAAAUGAGAGAGGCAUGGUCUCCACACCUCUUCUUGCAAGAGUUGGGGCUGGGUGGGGGUGGUUGGGAGGACUGUCACCAGGCUCCCUGCAACACCAGAUCUAACUAGGAAUGGUGUCAGGUGACUCUUUGGCCCCACUGGGAGAUGGAAGUCUGUUUAUCUGGUUUGGUCACUGACCCCUGCCCCGCAGGAGCCCUCCAAGGUGGCCCAAGAGCUCAUGGCCACUGAGCAUGGAUCUCAUGUACUGGCUGUCAAUCAUCCCAUUUAAUCCACCCCACAACCCUCGAGCGUCUAUAAAAAACAGGCUCAGGGAGGGUAAGAACCUUAGUCUAGGUCAGUGAUGGCGAACCUUUUGAGCUCGGCAUGUCAGCAUUUUGAAAAACCCUAACUUAACUCUGGU
Long non-coding RNA from Myotis myotis, 5793 nucleotides. RefSeq lists it as uncharacterized. The record is from RefSeq and is a predicted model, not a curated record. Lineage: Eukaryota; Metazoa; Chordata; Mammalia; Chiroptera; Vespertilionidae. The transcript is spliced from 3 exons.